Long non-coding RNA from Bubalus bubalis (water buffalo), 1020 nucleotides. RefSeq lists it as uncharacterized. The transcript has 3 exons. The record is from RefSeq and is a predicted model, not a curated record. NCBI's taxonomy places the organism in Eukaryota, Metazoa, Chordata, Mammalia, Artiodactyla, Bovidae.
CGCACGGAUGUCCUGCCUCAGAACUGUGGGAUCUGUUGGGUAAAGACUUUGCUAACUUUGGUUUAUUUAUUCAUUUUGAAAUUUAAAUUCAUUUUAACAUUUAAUUAAUUUUUUUUUUAAUGUAAAGAAUCCACGACUUUCUAUAAUGAUCCAGGGCUGUAUAUCUCAAUUUGUGUAUGCAGAAAGGGAGAAGAUUUGCCAGAUGUCAGAAGGAGAGACUUGGAGAGAAGCUGGAGCAGAGCAGGAGGGCAGGGAGAAGUGACAUGCAAGCAAGUCUAACGACAUCUACUUGAAGGACAAAAUGCAGAUUAAUAGUCCCAUAACUUCAAGCGCUCCUAUUUCCUGGACUGUGAAAACAGAAGCACAUGCAUCGGAUUGCAUCUCAAUGAAACAGGACUCAGCUUCCCCAUCUUUAACUGGCCCUGCAGACCUAGAUGAAAAUACUGCUGAGUGUUCACUGGCUAACAGUGGGACAGAGCUGCCCAGGGAUGAGCGUUAAGCCCAGUUCAUAAAGGAAAACGAAAACCACAGUCUGAUCACACAGACAUUCUACAACUGAGCACUGAGAAAAAGAACGACACAAAUGAACCUACUUACAAAACAGAAAGAGAUUCACAGACUUAGGAAACGAACUAAUGGUUGUUGUGUGGAAGGGACAAAUAGGGAGUUUGGGAUGGACAUGUACACAUGGAUACAUGUGUACAUGGUUAAAAUGGAUACAUGGAUAACCAGCAAGGACCUGCUGUACAGCACAGGGAACUCUGCUCAAUAUUAUGUGGUAGCCUGGAUGGGAGGGGAGUUUGGGGGAGACUGAAUACAUGUACAUGUAUGGCUAAGUCCCUUCUCUGUUCGCCUGAAACUAUCACAACAUUGUUAACUGGCUAGACCCCAGCACAAAAUAAAAAGUUUAAAACAACAACAACAACAAACGGUCUUGCAUUGAUAAGAGAAUGGGUUAUUGUACAAAUUGUAUUUGUACAAUAUUUUCUGGAAGAAAAUAAAGCCAGACGAACAACCUCA